RNAcentral lists this ribosomal RNA (608 nucleotides) under uncultured bacterium. RNAcentral describes it as "bacterial SSU rRNA". It matches the Rfam family "Bacterial small subunit ribosomal RNA", at positions 338 to 944 of the family's 1533-position model. The record is from RNAcentral.
CCUACGGGAGGCAGCAGUGAGGAAUAUUGGACAAUGGGCGCAAGCCUGAUCCAGCCAUGCCGCGUGCAGGAUGACGGUCCUAUGGAUUGUAAACUGCUUUUGCACAGGAAGAAACAACGCUACGUGUAGCGUCUUGACGGUACUGUGAGAAUAAGGAUCGGCUAACUCCGUGCCAGCAGCCGCGGUAAUACGGGGGGAUCCAAGCGUUAUCCGGAAUCAUUGGGUUUAAAGGGUCCGUAGGCGGUUUAGUAAGUCAGUGGUGAAAGCCCAUCGCUCAACGGUGGAACGGCCAUUGAUACUGCUAGACUUGAAUUAUUAGGAAGUAACUAGAAUAUGUAGUGUAGCGGUGAAAUGCUUAGAGAUUACAUGGAAUACCAAUUGCGAAGGCAGGUUACUACUAAUUGAUUGACGCUGAUGGACGAAAGCGUGGGUAGCGAACAGGAUUAGAUACCCUGGUAGUCCACGCCGUAAACGAUGGAUACUAGCUGUUGGGAGCAAUUUCAGUGGCUAAGCGAAAGUGAUAAGUAUCCCACCUGGGGAGUACGUUCGCAGAAGAGAAGUACGAAGAAGUAGAGCGNGAGAGAGCGAGACGACGACGAGGGAGGAGG